CCUCGGGGUAGGUGUGUCUGCCAUGCAAACAGGUUGCUCAUCUGCCACCAGGCCCCUAAUGAGCCCAACCCUCCUCUGAGCAGCUUGCUCCAACCCCAGCCCUGUUGUCAAGUCAGGCCCCUGCUCAUAAAACUCUCUCCAGUGAGCUGUGACACACAUGAAGGUACACAUUUACAGGGAAACCUGUAAAUCAGGGAAAUCGGGACAGCCCCACACCCCUUCUCAAGGCCACUUAAAGUAGCAAAGGUGCGGCACUGGACUCAGCCUUGCGUUGGUCUCUGCACAGACUCAGGUAAUCAUCGCUGGCCUGGGAGGACGCGGCCCUCGAAGAGUUUUGGAGCAUCUCCACACUUAGAUGUUCAAUGCCUCACGUCUACUGGGAGGGAAGGUUCAGCCCUACAUGGUGCCUACUUCUUAGCCUGACAAUGGGGUAUCCAGCGGGUGAAGCAGUUGAGAAGUGGGCAGUCGACCUUGGCUUUGCCCUCCUCCCCUGAUGUAGACCCCGAGGUGCCCCACUGAAGAUGCCUUUGGGAUGGAAAACAAGCUCUUUGAAGAUUGUUUCCCAAUUCUUACAUUUGAGGCCAGGAGGAAGUUCCGAGGUAGCCUAGAGCCCUGUCACUGUUACAAGAUUCCUUCCCAGAGGACUGGUCUACACAUCUGGGAGAAAACAGGCUUCAGAAACCAUCCACUCUGUGAUGGCUGCUCUGGCUUAUUGACGUGCAAUUGAUCUGACAUGCCUUAUUGGCAUGCAGCGGGUCAUUCCACACACCCCGAGUGCGGUGGCAGGCUGCAUAGCAUGCUUGGCACACUGCCCGGCACUCAGGACCCAUCUUUCAGGAAUUGGCCGGACGUGGGCAAAUAAAUUGGAUAUCUAUUGAUCAGCACUCCUGCCAAUAACUUGGAACAUCAUUUCCCAGUCAAUGAUUUCACAAAUGAAGACACUGCAAAAUAGUGUUCGUUGCCUGUCCACUGUAGGAACUGAUUCUAAAUGUUCACUUCAGUGUGCCUGCCAGAGGAAUACAAACCCGAUACGGGUGUACUGGCCACGCGUUGGAGAGACGAAAAGGCUUACUGAACAUUCUUAGUAAAUGUGCCAUUUGUUCCUGGUGGGUGAAGCAUUUCAUGAUUCAUGCAAUAUUGUAAAUUUUUAUUUUCUUUACAUAGACUUGGCUUUUAUUGUAAUUCCUACUCUUGGGGGAAGGUAAUAUGGAUUCAUCCAAGUUAAUAAAGCCUCUUGGAGAUAACAUCUCCAGGACUCAAGGCCAUUCUCAGGGUACAAUUAAGACAUUUGUUUGCUUGGUAUUCACCACGAAGAUCCAAGGUUGCCAUCAUGCUAAGUCACUGCAUGCAUUUCAUGACAUGAACACGAGCUUUGCAUACCAUUUCAGGCAGGACAGCGAUCACAGUGGAGUCACCGUUAGAGAAGCUGAGAGGUUCUUUGGAACAAACUACAGGCCAUGAAUAAGAGUAACAAGUGUGCCACCUCAUUAGAAGGUAGGGCAGUUCAGAGGACACCGAGCCCUGGACCAAAGGUUCAGGCCACAGCAUGCAUCACUGCAUUCCACACACCCUGCUUUGCCCCGGAGCUUGGAGGUAAAUCUGGAGAGAAGAAAGAGCCGUGGUUUUCUUUUCUUUUUUUUUUUUCCUUUUUUUCUUUUU
This 1659-nucleotide long non-coding RNA is filed under the name Homo sapiens (human). RNAcentral describes it as "HSALNT0270122". Lineage: Eukaryota; Metazoa; Chordata; Mammalia; Primates; Hominidae. The record is from RNAcentral.